Long non-coding RNA from Anolis carolinensis (green anole), 4631 nucleotides. The record is from Ensembl. NCBI's taxonomy places the organism in Eukaryota, Metazoa, Chordata, Lepidosauria, Squamata, Anolidae.
AUCCUCUCCCCUUCUCCUCUCUUCUUCUGCAGUCUUCACCAUCCAGGUCCUGGUCACUGGGCGAACCGGUGGCUGCGAGGAUCUGUUCUUAGAGAAGGUCUCUGGCCGCCUCUCCAAGAUCCACCUCAAGACGGAAAGUUAUCAAGAGGACUCCGGCCACUUCCUGCUGGUCUUCUGCCCGGUCUCCUCCCGGAUGGGCACCGACAUGGAGAAUGCGCUGGAGGAUCUCAAAGGUCAGUCCAGGUGAGCCAAAGGCGGUCUUGAUCGUGCUGCAUCACAGACUGAAAGAAUACGACCGCUUUCUGGACACCAAGCUGCAGGCACAACACCCGGCCGUGGUGCACACCGUCCACGCUUGCUACACGCUCGAGGGCGGCCUCUACGACUGCCAGAUGAACGAGGAGGCCGUGGCUGAUGUGGCCAAAGUCCUCAAGGUCCAUUACAAAGAGAUGGAGAAAGGGUCCUCGGACCCUGCGGCCAAGCCAUUUCCCCAGGCCCGACCGGCGACGAUGCAAGGAAUCGAGCGUCCGAGAGGCAACCCGCCAGACUCGGCCUCCCAGCAGGCAGAGAUCCACAGAUCGGAGCGUUGGCGGCUGAAGCAGAAGCUUCCGGAGGACAGAAGAGGCCAAAGGGAUGAAAGCUGGGAGCCAAGGAAGCAAAGAGGGUGGUUUUCAUGUUGCAAGAAAGGUCUCCCCAUCCAGGUGCUUGUCACCGGGCGGACUGAAAACUGUGAAGGCCAGUUCUUAUGGAGGGUCUCUCACCGCCUUGACAAAAUCCGUCUCAAGCCAGAGAGGUACCGAGAGGACUGUGGCCACUUCCUGCUGGUCUUCUGCCCCGUGACCUCCUCGGUGGACAUCGACAUGGCCAACGCUCUCGAGGGUCUCCACUGUGAGCCGGAGGCGAUCUUGGUGAUGCUGCACCACAAACCGAAGGAGAGCACCUCUUUUGUGGACACCACGAGGCAGGCGCAACACCGGGCCGUGGAGUGCACUGUACACGCUCGCUACACGCUUGAAGAUGGCUUCUACUGCUGCCAGACAAACAAGGUGGCUGUGGCCAUUGUGGCCCAAGUCCUAGAAGAGCGCCGCAAAAUGGUGAGUGGCCCCACGAUACCGGUUGCUCCUGAACAUUUCCCUUUGGCAGCGUCUCCUUCCCUGGAGGUUCUAAAAGAGAGGCUGGUGUUGGGAAUAAUCUCCAAAAAGGGAAAUAAGUAAAUCACCAACAAACAGCAUUAGCAGCGGUCCAGCAGAUCGGAAGCUUCUAGUGCCAGCAGUAGCACCAUUGAGCGUCAGCAAUUCAGGAGCAGGGUCAAGCGUCAAGAAGUUCUAAAAGGUUAUAUUCAAAGAACUACACAUCUAGAAGGGGUGUGUAAUUUUUUUCAUAUUCUUUAUUAAGAUUUUUCAUUGCCUUGAUAAAAUAUAUAUAGAUUUAUAGAUAUGAAUAAGAUAAGAAAAAGAAAUGAUAGAAUAGCAAAGAAAUCCUAAGUAACCAUUAUAUACUAGCUGUGCCCGGCCACACGUUGCUAUGGCUUAGUCUGGUGGUGUUGGUCAGUCUACAUUAGGUUGUAUUUAUGCUGUGACCUUCUUUAUACUCACAUUAGUAGUAGUAUUUAAAGUCUGUUACCUUCUUCAAUUUUUGUGUUGAUUGAUAAUUGCUUGAGAUCCCUUUUGUCUUUGGGUUGUUGUUAAUCGUGAUUUCUGAUUCUGCUGAGUGCGGUUUAUAUUUUUAUUGUGGUACAAUAGUCUUUUUUUUGUUUUGCCUGUGUAGGUAUUUAUUAUUACUGUGACUUUUGUGGGUCCGGAUUGUGGUUUUGUGGUGUGGUUGUGUUGUUACAACUGGGAGGGAAGGCUUUUGCAUUGUGUUGCCAAGUUUCGUAUUUCUGGGGCGUUUAGUUGUGUUGUUAUAGUCACGAUACGUUGUUGUGAGUUUUGUGGGUCCGGAUUGUGAUUUUGUGGUGUGGUUGUGUUGUUACAACUGGGAGGUAAGGCUUUUGCAUUGUGUUGCCAAGUUUUGUAUUUCUGGGGCGAUUAGUUGUGUUGUUAUAGUCAUGAUGUGUUGUUGUGAGUUUUGUGGGUCCGGAUUGUGGUUUUGUGGUGUGGUUGUGUUGUUAUAACCGGGAGGCAAGGCUUUUGCGUUGUGUUGCCAAGUUUUGCAUUUCUGGGACGUUUAGUUUUGUUGUUAUAGUCACUGUGCAAACAACUUUAUCCUUUUAUAUAUACAGUAUAGUCUCACUUAUCCAACACUCGCUUAUCCAACAUUCUGGAUUAUCCAACGUAUUUUUGUAGUCAAUGUUUUCAAUACAUCGUGAUAUUUUGGUGCUAAAUUCGUAAAUACAGUAAUUACUACAUAGCAUUACUGUGUAUUGAACUACUUUUUCUGUCAAAUCUGUUGUAUAACAUAAUGUUUUGGUGCUUAAUUUGUAAAAUCAUAACCUAAUUUAAUAUUUAAUAGGCUUUUCCUUAAUCUCUCCUUAUUAUCCAAUAUAUUCACUUAUCCAACAUUCUGCCGGCCCGUUUAUGUUGGAUAAGCGAGACUCUACUGUAUAGACACAUAAAAUAGUAUUUAGUAUUUACAAAGUUAAUAUUGUACUGUAGAGUAAGUCAAUAACUCUAAUUCUCACUAAGAGACUGUUUACAUAAAUAGUGUACUUGUCAGGAUUUAAUGUUAAAUUAAAUAGAAAGGUAAAGUAAAGGGAAAAGAAUAAAAAUAGAGAUAAUAGAGAAUUAUUUUUUUUUACUUCCUGGUAUCUUCAUGAGGUCUUGUCUUUAUAUAUACAGUAGAGUCUCACUUAUCCAAGCCUCGCUUAUCCAAGCUUCUGGAUUAUCCAAGCCAUUUUUGUAGUCAAUGUUUUCAAUAUAUCAUGAUAUUUUGGUGCUAAAUUCGUAAAUACAGUAAUGACAAGAUAACAUUACUGCGUAUUGAACUACUUUUUCUGUCAAAUUUGUUGUAUAACAUGAUGUUUUGGUGCUUAAUUUGUAAAAUCAUUACCUAAUUUGAUGUUUAAUAGGCUUUUUCUAAGUUCCUCCUUAUUAUCCAAGAUAUUCACUUAUCCAAGCUUCUGCCGGCCCAUUUACGACUCUACUGUAUAGACACAUAAAAUAGUAUUUAGUAUUUACAAAGUUAAUAUUGUACUGUAGAGUAAGUCAAUAACUCUAAUUCUCACUAAGAGACUGUUUACAUAAAUGGUGUACUUAUCAGGAUUUAAUGUUAAAUUAAAUAGAAAGGUAAAGUAAAGGGAAAAGAAUAAAAAUAGAGAUAAUAGAGAAUUUUUUUUUACUUCCUGGUAUCUUCAUGAGGUCUUGUCUUUUAUUUUUAUUAUAUAUAUAUAUAUUCCUCUCUUCCUUCUCACCUCCAGAAGGGGUGUGCAAUUUUUUUGUGUUAGUCAUCUUAAGUCGGAUCAAAUUAGUUAAAUUCGUACUUAUGACACGAUAUCAGACACGCGGGCAUGGCUCGCAUUAAAAACGUAAAAAUCGAAACUUACCCGAUACUUUUUCGUUUGAAUUUUGUAAACCUCAGAAGCCUCCCAAAGCCAGCUUUAUUUUCCUUUUUAAAUGAAUAGCCUCUUGCCACAAGGAGAGGAAAGCAGCAGGGAGAAAGCAGAGUUUGCUGGGAAAGAGACAGAGAGAGCGCAGAACUCUGGGAAAUGUAGUUUGGGAAGGUGUGGAGCCCUAUGGCAGAGAAUGCAAAAGGCCUUGCCAUAAACUACAUUUUCCAGAAUGCUGUUCAGCAUCAGAAAGGCCCAAUCAGAAGAGGAAGAGAUGUGUCCCUCCAUCGCAGCUGCCAGCCAGAGUUCGAAUGAAUGGUUGAACCUGCAAACAGGAGGACUGACUGAGACUUCUUGUAAGUCAGUCUCCAUGCUGGGCUGGGAAGAGAUCCUUAAGGGUUGUUGAAUGUUUUCCGGGCUGCAUGGCCAUGUUCCAGGAGAGAAUAUGCCCGGAAAACAUACAACAACCCUGUGAUCCCGGCCAUGAAAGCCUUCGACAACACAGAGAUUCCUAAAAUUAUUUAUGUAUGUAUUUUAUUUACAGUAUUUAUAUUCCGCCCUUCUCACUCUGAAGGGGACUCAGGGUGGAUCACAGAACAUAUAUAUAUACAAACACACACAUACAUUUAAUGCUGUUAUACACAGACAAUUGUACACAGAAUAGACGUAUAUAUAGGCUUUUCCAAUCUUCAGCAUCUUGGAGGCUUGUGCUCAGUUCCGGCCACGGGGGGAUGUGUGUGCCGUUGCUCCAUCUCCCUGUUCGUAAACUUCCUCCUUUUUGAUGAACCGCCAGCAUUUUUUUUCUGGGUGCCUUUAAAAUACCUCUGUUUUUUAAAGCAGUACCUAUUAAUCUACUCACAUUUUGCUUUCAAAUCGCUAGGUGUUCGAAAGCUGGGCUAAAGGUCAGGAAUUCACCCGGACCCAUGCUUUGAACUGCCAACCUUUUGACUGGCAAGAUUUACUGCAGCUGGUGGUUAACCUGCUGUGCUAAAGCCCGGCCCUAAAUAGAAGUUCUAUUGGUUAAUAUGAGGCAUUCAGUGAGAUUGUUGUCGUUGAAGGCUUUCAUGUCUGGAAUCACAGUGCUGUUGUGUGUUUUCCGGGCAGAUUCUCUCCUGGAAAGAGAGAGAGACAAAGAGAGAGAGAGACC